RNAcentral lists this ribosomal RNA (253 nucleotides) under uncultured bacterium. RNAcentral describes it as "partial 16S ribosomal RNA". It matches the Rfam family "Bacterial small subunit ribosomal RNA", at positions 524 to 776 of the family's 1533-position model. The record is from RNAcentral.
UACGGAGGAUGCAAGCGGUAUCCGGAAUCAUUGGGUUUAAAGGGUCCGCAGGCGGGUUGUUAAGUCAGGGGUGAAAUCUUACAGCUCAACUGUAAAAUUGCCUUUGAUACUGGCAAUCUUGAAUCAUUGUGAAGUGGUUAGAAUGUGUAGUGUAGCGGUGAAAUGCUUAGAUAUUACACAGAAUACCGAUUGCGAAGGCAGAUCACUAACAAUGUAUUGACGCUCAGGGACGAAAGCGUGGGGAGCAAACAGG